CAGCCGCCGCGGUAAUAUGUAGGUCCCGAGCGUUGUCCGGAUUUACUGGGCGUAAAGGGAGCGCAGGCGGUUUAGUAAGUCUGAAGUUAAAGGCAUUGGCUCAACCAAUGUAUGCUUUGGAAACUGUUAGACUUGAGUGCAGAAGGGGAGAGUGGAAUUCCAUGUGUAGCGGUGAAAUGCGUAGAUAUAUGGAGGAACACCGGUGGCGAAAGCACUCUGCUGGGCCGACACUGACACUGAGAGACGAAAGCUAGGGGAGCAAAUGGGAUUAGAUACCCGGGUAGUCCCUGUCUCUUAUACA
RNAcentral lists this ribosomal RNA (301 nucleotides) under uncultured bacterium. RNAcentral's name for it is "partial 16S ribosomal RNA". It matches the Rfam family "Bacterial small subunit ribosomal RNA", at positions 509 to 808 of the family's 1533-position model. The record is from RNAcentral.